GAUGAACGCUGGCGGUGUGCCUAAUACAUGCAAGUCGAGCGAACAGACGAGGAGCUUGCUCCUCUGACGUUAGCGGCGGACGGGUGAGUAACACGUGGAUAACCUACCUAUAAGACUGGGAUAACUUCGGGAAACCGGAGCUAAUACCGGAUAAUAUAUUGAACCGCAUGGUUCAAUAGAGAAAGACGGUUUUGCUGUCACUUAUAGAUGGAUCCGCGCCGCAUUAGCUAGUUGGUAAGGUAACGGCUUACCAAGGCAACGAUGCGUAGCCGACCUGAGAGGGUGAUCGGCCACACUGGAACUGAGACACGGUCCAGACUCCUACGGGAGGCAGCAGUAGGGAAUCUUCCGCAAUGGGCGAAAGCCUGACGGAGCAACGCCGCGUGAGUGAUGAAGGUCUUCGGAUCGUAAAACUCUGUUAUUAGGGAAGAACAAAUGUGUAAGUAACUAUGCACGUCUUGACGGUACCUAAUCAGAAAGCCACGGCUAACUACGUG
Molecule: ribosomal RNA, 497 nt
Filed under: uncultured bacterium
Lineage: Bacteria
Description: partial 16S ribosomal RNA
Rfam family: Bacterial small subunit ribosomal RNA
Source: RNAcentral